UACGUAGGGUGCGAGCGUUAAUCGGAAUUACUGGGCGUAAAGCGUGCGCAGGCGGUUUUGUAAGCCGGAUGUGAAAUCCCCGGGCUUAACCUGGGAAUGGCAUUCGGGACUGCAAGGCUGGAGUGCGGCAGAGGAGACUGGAAUUCCUGGUGUAGCAGUGAAAUGCGUAGAUAUCAGGAGGAAUACCGGUGGCGAAGGCGGCAUCCUGGACCGGCAUUGACGCUGAGGAGCGAAAGCCAGGGGAGCAAACGGG
Molecule: ribosomal RNA, 253 nt
Filed under: uncultured bacterium
Lineage: Bacteria
Description: partial 16S ribosomal RNA
Rfam family: Bacterial small subunit ribosomal RNA
Source: RNAcentral